UUUAUAUUUAAAUAAUGUAAAUGAAAAAUUAAAAUUUCCACAUCAAUUCAACACAAAUUCUCAAAUUUAAGUAUAAAUUACACAAAUCCAUUUAAAAAACACAAACUAGUAUCUAAAAAUAAUAAUUACAUUUCAUAUUAUCAUUUAAAACAAGCUCCAAGAGAAGAUAUUCAUUUCAUUCACCACCAUAAGCAUCCAUCCAACACAAUGCCUAUAAUAAUAAUUAAGAUUAAUAUUUUCAAAUACUAAUUUGAAGGAAAAUACCUUUAGUUUUCUUUAGAUUGUGACUUUAGAACAAGAUAUAGGCCACAUACACACAUACACAACUUUGAGCCUUUGGCUAUUUGGUAAUUUAAUUAAUGACAUUAUUUUCUUUAUACAUUUUUAGAUUAAAAUUAAAUUAAAAAUAUUUGAAAAAAAUAUUACGGGUUUGGUGGAUAUCCAUGCGGGUAUCCACCGAAUAUAAAGUUAAUACCAAACCCACCCGCAUCUAUGUGAGGGUUUUAAUUUAUAAUACUAAACCCGCCCGCAACGGACGGGUUUUAGCGGGUGGAUUUGAGCGGGUUUGCGGGUACAAUUGCCAUCCCUAACCAUGAAACACACUAACAUAGUGCAAAGUGAUUAUUAUUAGUACUGUUCAUAUUUUUUUAUUUGCUGAUGAACAAGGAAACAAUUUGCUAAGAUUGGCAGUGGUUGAAAACCUUCAGAGUAGAGCCGUUAAAAAAUUAUUAACUUUAUGUUCAUGUCCAUUCAUUCGAAUUAAUCUUGCUGAGGAGUUGACCAUUGAUUAUUAAAUGUUCAUCUCUUCACUUUGGAUUUUAAAUAUCAACUAAAAUUCCGACCUUGAGUCAAAAAGAGAGUGAAGCUGUUAUGUUAGCAACAUUCCAAAACUCUCAUAAUACCUCAUGUUUUUGUACUUACCAUUUUGACUUCAAUUUCAAUUAGGUUAGGAAAAUACAUUUCUUAGUACAACAACGUUAUCCUCAAUGGCGCGUUAAGAAAGUUUGACCUUAAUUUCAAUUAUAUUAGAAAAAUAAAUUUCCAACCAAAGCUUAGGGGAAGCUGCAAAGCCUCGUUAUCUUCAAUAGCGUAGAGAAAUUUAAGGGGUUUUGAGGCUAAAAAUUGAAAACUAAAGGUUGGCUACGAAUGUGCCUUGAUGAUAUGGAGAUUCUUCCUUUAGGAAAUACUGUUUCCAUAUCAUUUCCUGUUGAACAAGAAAUCUUUAGUGAAAAUCAUCACCAAUAAUUAGGAAUAUUCAUGUUUUAUCACCAAGAAUUAAUAACGAAUUAUGCAGAAGCGUACUUGAAUCCAUAACGCUGAAUUGUUCUUUAGGAUUGUGUGGUUGAUAUUCCAAAUCAACACAUUCUCUUAAAGAAUUAUUUGAUACUCUUUGCGCUCUCUCUCUAAAGAUAGAAUGUCAGUAGAGAAUAGAAUGAUACGUGUGACGUGGAGACCAUAACUACUUAUAUAGACAACUUUUUUUCUAUUGUCAUUGGGUAUUCCUAAUUCUGCUCAUCAUAUAAUUAGAAUACAAUUAGAUCUCUACACAUUAAAGGCGCACACCCUGUCAGAUACAUUAAAGUCUAUAAUAUUGAAAACCUUAAUAGAUAACUUUUAAUUAGAUUUAACCAUAUAUGACAGAUUGCAACACAUAAUUAUUCACAUAUAAACUCAGUGUUGGAUUAAGGAUCCAACAAUGUCAAAUUAAAAAAUCCAAUAUUUUCAUCUUUUUUUGAGAUUUUUUAUAACCAAAAAAUUUCAUUUUCUCAGUUUAAUCUAAACAAAAAAAAGAGCAAACUUGCAUCAUUAUUGUUGACACAGUUCUAGUCACUUGGAGAAAUAAAUCAGUGGAGUCGAUAAUAAACGAGAUACAAAAAUUUAUGUGGUAUGAGUAAUUUCACUAUUGAAUAAGUGUUACAAUUGAAUCUUUUUUGUUUACUUAUUUGCUCAUGUCCUUACUAUGUAUUAAGAGUUUUCUAUUUACAAUAUAACUUAGAUGACUCGAAUUCUCGAUAACUCUGCAUUCUGAUGAUCUUUAUCAUUUAAUUGGAGUUUUAUUUGAUGUCAAGAUUUAUAUUCAACAUCCAUCUCCUUCUCAAACUAAGCUUUAUUUAACGGUAACAUUUAUUUCUUUCCCAAGCUGAUUUUAAUAACCAUGAAUGAGACUUUUAUUGGGCUUAGAAAAGGUUUUCAAUUACUAGGCUCUCACACUAUCAUGUUCCCAUAUGGUUGUGUUCUCCUGUAGCUAUACUCUCUCUUGUAGUUGCUUAUCUGACUUAUUAAGCUUCCAAUUGCUGAGCUCUCACGCUAUUAUGUUCUUUUAUAGCUAUGUUCUCCUACAGUCAUGUUCUUGUACAAUUAUGCUUAUUUGAUUUAUGAAGCUUCUAGCUAUUUAGCUUCCAUGCCAUUAUGCUCUCUUAUAUCUAUGUCCUUCUACAAUCAUGAUUUCCUACAAUUGUGCUUAUUUGGCUUAUUAAACUUCUAGCUACUUGGGUUGGCAAAACCUUGGUCUGGGUCUAAGUAUUGCAAUGCCCGAACCCCGCCAUCGGGCCUGGGUACAAACCCAUAUUUUGUAUUUUUUAAUAUUAAAUAUGUAUAUUUUUUGUGUAAUUUA
This 2614-nucleotide long non-coding RNA is filed under the name Citrus x clementina. Its description in RNAcentral is "Citrus clementina (C. clementina) long non-coding RNA (CCLE_LNC000196)". The record is from RNAcentral. Lineage: Eukaryota; Viridiplantae; Streptophyta; Magnoliopsida; Sapindales; Rutaceae.